This 86-nucleotide ribosomal RNA is filed under the name Alteromonas sp. C1M14. RNAcentral describes it as "partial 23S ribosomal RNA". It matches the Rfam family "Bacterial large subunit ribosomal RNA", at positions 2840 to 2925 of the family's 2925-position model. Lineage: Bacteria; Pseudomonadati; Pseudomonadota; Gammaproteobacteria; Alteromonadales; Alteromonadaceae. The record is from RNAcentral.
GUAGACUACAACGUUGAUAGGCAGGAUGUGGAAGCGUUGCAAGGCGUUAAGCUAACCUGUACUAAUUGCCCGUGAGGCUUAACCAU